RNAcentral lists this long non-coding RNA (2797 nucleotides) under Oryza sativa Indica Group (long-grained rice). RNAcentral's name for it is "lncRNA OsZS97_10G007130". The record is from RNAcentral. Lineage: Eukaryota; Viridiplantae; Streptophyta; Magnoliopsida; Poales; Poaceae.
AUGGAACUCGCCCAAAGACUCCAGUUACCUCAUGUUUUCACGACAAUCUACAUGCUGCAUUUGGGUAAAGCUACUACUGUCCAGCCCAUCAGUAGUAGCACCGACCUCUAUGCACUUCUAUCCUUCAAAUCUCUUGCCACUGAGGACCCAUCGGGAGCCAUGUCUUCUUGGAGCUCCAAUGAGACCAUGUUUGGUUUCUGCCAUUGGAAGGGUGUAACAUGCAGCAGCCAUGCCCACCCUGGCCGCGUCACUGCCUUGCGCAUGCGAGAUCUUGGCCUUGUCGGUGCCAUCUCUCCGCAGCUCAGCAACCUCACCUAUCUCCAAGCCCUUGAUCUUUCAAACAACAGGUUACAAGGUGAGAUCCCCCAUGACCAUGGCAGCUGCGUCGCACUGCGUGCCAUCAACUUGAGUGUCAACUCCCUGUCUGGCCAGAUCCCAUGGUCCAUCGGCAACCUGCCAAAGCUCGCUGUGCUGAACGUCCGUAACAACAAAAUCUCAGGUAAUGUCCCAGCUUCAUUGGGCAACUUGACAGCACUGACUAUGCUUAGCAUCGCUGAUAACUAUGUCAAUGGGCGAAUUCCUCCUUGGAUUGGCAAUAUGACUAAUUUGACAGAUUUAAACGUUGCUGGUAAUGUCUUCCAUGGAUAUGUCCCAUCAAAUAUAGCUGGGCUAAUAAACCUUUUAGCUUUGAGCUUGUUAGGAAAUAAGCUACAAGGUGUGUUUCCCCCAGAGCUGUUUAAUAUUACAUCCCUUGAAAUUAUGUACAUCGGCCUGAACAUGCUAUCAGGCUUUUUGCCGAUGGAUAUUGGCUCCAAGUUGACUAACUUAGUUUUCUUGAGCACAAUCUAUAACCAAUUUGAAGGCCCGAUACCAGACUCUUUGUCAAAUAUUUCCAAACUAGAAUAUCUUCAACUCCAUGGAAAUAAAUUUCAAGGACGAAUACCACCGAACAUCUGGAGCUCCGGCACAAUCACAAGAUUAAACCUAGGUAACAAUAUUCUUGAAGCUAAGACACCAAAUGACAGGGAUUUCCUCACAUCCUUGACCAACUGUAGUGAACUAGUGACACUAGAUCUUCAAUUGAAUAGGCUUUCUGGAUUUAUCCCGAAUACACUUGUCAACCUCUCGCAAGAGCUCAUAUGGAUUGGACUUGGAGGAAACCAAAUAUUUGGGACCAUACCUGCAGGGAUAGGGAGGUUUCGCAAAUUAACUGUACUAGAGUUGGCAGGUAACAUUUUCACAUGCAACAUACCUUUAGAUAUUGGUCAGCUAUCUAGUCUCCACCAGCUGUUGUUGUAUGGAAACAAUUUGAGUGGGGAGAUUCCACCAUCGGUUGGCAACCUUACACAACUAAAUGAGCUCCUGUUGUUCCAAAACAACCUAGACAACAAAAUUCCAGAAACCCUUGGCAAUCUAAGUUCACUAAAUUCUAUGGACCUUCCCUAUAACAUGUUGAGUGGGAAGAUUCCUGAAGUACUCAUGAGGAUGCCAUCACUAACUAAACAACUCAAUCUCUCUAACAAUUUGUUGGGUGGUCCCAUUUCCCCACAGAUUCAGGAGUUGGUCAAUCUUGGUGCAAUUGAUCUCUCAGGCAAUAAGCUAUCCGGUCAAAUUCCAUACACCCUAGGUAGUUGUGUUGAGUUGGAAUUCUUAUUCUUGCAAGCGAAUCUAUUGCAAGGGAAAAUUCCUUCUGAACUCAGUACACUUAGAGGACUAGAAGACUUGGAUCUAUCAAACAACAACUUAUCAGGACCCAUCCCUGAUUUUCUUGGGAAUUUCCAAGGUCUCAAGCAUUUAAACCUUUCCUUGAACAACCUCUCUGGUCUUGUGCCAAAUAAAGGAAUUUUCUGUAAUCCCACUGCUGUAUCACUCUCGAAAUGCCCAUCAUCUCUUGCUCAUAAUAGUCAUUCAAAGCACCAAGUGCAGCUUAUAUUGAUCAUUUGUGUUGUUGGAGGAUUUACCAUAUUUGCAUGUCUAGUGACUUUCUAUUUCAUUAAGGACCAACGAACAAUCCCAAAAGAUAUUGAUCAUGAAGAGCAUAUCACAUCGCUUCUCAUAAAGAAAUAUCCUAGGAUAUCAUAUGUUGAGUUAUACGCUGCAACAGAUUCCUUGUCCUCGGAAAACUUAAUCGGCCGUGGAAGUUUCGGAUAUGUAUAUAAAGGGAAUUUAACUUCUGGUGUGAAUUCAGCUACGGUGGCCAUGAAAGUACUUGAUCUUCGCCAAAAGGGACAAACACAGGGCUUUUUUGCUGAGUGCGAUGCCUUGAGGAGGAUACAACAUCGGAAACUUGUUAAGGUUGUCACGAUAAUGAGUGUUGAUGCAUCAAGGCAAAGUUUGGGCGAAAGCAUUUCGAAUGGAGUUAGAGGCUCAAUUGGGUACCUUGCACCAGAGUAUGGGAUGGGAGCCGAGAUAUCAGCUAGAGGUGGUGUAUACAGCUACGGAGUGUUGGUUCUCCAAAUGCUGACCGGGAAAGAACCAACUGACGCAAUAUUCGAUGGGACUACAAGUCUUCCAAAAUACGUCGAGAUGACCUAUCCGGACAAGCUAUCUCCAAUAGUCGACGCAGCUAUUAUUGCUAACAGUGGCGGCGGCCAAGAGACGAUAAAUAUGUUCAUUGUGCCAGUUGCAAAAAUUGCUCUAGCAUGCUGCAGAGAUAACGCUAGCCAGCGAAUGAACUUCGGUGAGAUAGUGAAAGAACUGGUCCCGUUGAACAAGUUGUGUCAAGAUUAUUUCCUCACUCAGGGGGCAAGUAGUGGCAACACUAGUGACAUCGGUAUCACGCUGUAACCAUACUAGA